GUAGUACAGGCGGCCGGGCGCGGUGGCUCAAGCCUGUAAUCGCAUCACUUUGGGAGGCCGAGACAGGUGGAUCACGAGGUCAGGAGAUCGAGACCAUCCUGGCUAACACGGUGAAACCCCGUCUCUACUAAAAAUACAAAAAAUUAGCCGGCCGCAGUGGCGAGCCAGUCCCAGCUACUCCGGAGGCUGAGGCAGGAGAAUGGCGUGAACCCGGGAGGCGGAGCUUGCAGUGAGCUGAGAUCCGGCCACUGUAUUCCAGCCUGGGUGACAGAGAGAAACUCGUCUCAAAAAAAAAAAAGGUAGUACAGGCUUCAGCUAUGUUCACAUCUCCCAUUCACCGUGGUCUAUGGUAAUCUGGCUUCUUCCCUUGUCAGUUUGCUGGAAUUACUUUAGUUAAGGUCAUAAAAAUCUCCAGUGAAUAUUUUUCUGUUAUUUAGUACUGAAUUAACACACUAUUUUGGUGAUGUUUAUUACUGUUUUGAAACUCUCUACUUUGUUGACUUUCAUUGCAUUUGACUUCCCUGGUUCUUUUCUUUUUCUUCUAUUUAGUUCCUUCACUGUUUUCUCUUUGGACUUAUCUUCCUCUGCCUACCCUUUAAAGAGUGUAUUUCCAAAGAUUUCAUCCUGGUCCAUUGCUUUUAUUCUACAUAGUAAUUAUAAUGGGGUGGUCUCAUCUACUUUCUUGACUUUAAAUAGCACCAGAGUACUAACCGGCCUUCCAAAUGUUUACCCUUAGUGAAGAGUCUUCUCUUGAACUUCUGGAUAUACAUCCAACCACUCACCUGUGCCACACACACUUUUACCACAAACUCAUCAGGUCCCAAACUGACAUGAUCAACCUUGCCCCUAACCUCCCGGUACUCUCUCUCUCUCAGUGGCAUUAUCAUUCAGUCAUCCGAGCUAGAAUUUAGAGACUCAGUCCACCUUUAGUUCUUCCAUCACCAUCUAAUCACUUACAAGCCCUGCCCAUUCUACAAAUCUGCACUCCCUCCCUCCAUCUUCACUGCCACCCUCUCAAUUCAAAUGCUCAUCUUCUCUCCUCGCUAGUUAUUCUGCUGUCUAUGUCCAUUCGCCACACAAGGUGCCAGAUUAAAACGUCUGUCUCAAAGAAAUACGGCAUCAUCACUCUUAACGUAAAAUCAAAGAUUCUUUCUCUUCCACCUCUCCAGCCAAAUUUUGCAUUUUCACUUUUGAAAUUUGGAAAUUACAAUAGUACUCUAUACCCUGAGAUGAUGAAUACCCCUGUGACUUCUUCAUGCAGUGCCCUCUCACUGAGACCUGUGUCACCUGACUUGUAACCUGGUUAACUUCUCAUCCUCCUUUAUAUGUAACCGCCAAAUAACUUCUAGGAAGAAUUCCCUGAACUUCCAAACCGCUCUGAAUAUCACCUCCCAUUUUCUUAUUUCUCUUUAUCAACCUCUAUUAUUGCUUUACCUGUUGCAUUAUCAUUACCACUUUACCUACCUGAUUCUCUCAGUCGACAGUUUCCUAAGGAUGGGAACUGCAUCUGCUUUAUCUGUGCACCCCAUUACCUGGCCCAUUGCUGGAGAAUAAUGGGAAUCUCUUAUUCUAGACCUUGCUGAGGAGGAAGCUGUCCUGGGGGAAGCAAGGGUUUUGGUGCCAGUCACGUAACACCACAUCACCUAAUUUUCAGUCCUCCCUACUAAGAACAGAUAACGCAAAAUCCCAUUACACUUUAGAGUAUCUCUAUGGAGAGUGUUGAAAUGAACACACUAGGAUGACCCUCUGCUUUGUGAUGAACAUCCUUUCGCUUCCACCAGCAUUGAAAAUAGAACAUUUAUCCACCUCUCAAUUGUGAUGUCCUGCUCCUUUUGGAAAUUCUGUUCUCUUUGAAUAGAGCAGCUUCAUUACCACAACCAUCAGUUUCACAAGGUCACCCAUAGCCCAGUGGACAGAUUCAAAACAUCUUUCACAGGAGGGUAGCCAGUCUCAUGUCUGCAGUUUGGGGUGGGUGUGGGAUUAUACAGACACCAGAGUCUGUAUUAGCACAGUUUCAACUUUCAGAAGGAGGAAACAUAAAAUCAGAUCAAAUCUUUAUGUAUUAGGUAUUCUGUGUCACUAUACUGAAAUAUUCUGUACUGUAACUUUUUGAGGAAGAAAAAUAGUGCUUGGAAGAUGAACUGGCCUUGUUCCAGUAUAUCCCUUAGUUCCAGUGCUAAUGGAAAUGAAAGUUAUUCACCUGUACAAGGAGUCCAAAGCACGGAUUCAUAACUGGGGGUUUUUUGGCCAGCACAGUAUGAUGAUUUGUUUAAUUUUUAAAAUUUGUGGAGGAUCCCUUGAACCCGAGAGGCAAAGGUUCCUGUGAGCUGAGACUGUACCAUUGCUCUUCAGCCUGGGCAACAAGAGUGGAACUCCAUCUAAAAAAAAAAAAAAAAAA
RNAcentral lists this long non-coding RNA (2398 nucleotides) under Macaca fascicularis (crab-eating macaque). RNAcentral's name for it is "lncRNA (ENSMFAG00000053116.1)". Lineage: Eukaryota; Metazoa; Chordata; Mammalia; Primates; Cercopithecidae. The record is from RNAcentral.